GAUGAACGCUGGCGGCGUGCCCAAUACAUGCAAGUCGAGCGAACGGACGAGAAGCUUGCUUCUCUGAUGUUAGCGGCGGACGGGUGAGUAACACGUGGAUAACCUACCUAUAAGACUGGGAUAACUUCGGGAAACCGGAGCUAAUACCGGAUAAUAUUUUGAACCGCAUGGUUCAAAAGUGAAAGACGGUCUUUCUGUCACUUAUAGAUGGAUCCGCGCUGCAUUAGCUAGUUGGUAAGGUAACGGCUUACCAAGGCAACGAUGCAUAGCCGACCUGAGAGGGUGAUCGGCCACACUGGAACUGAGACACGUUCCAGACUCCUACGGGAGGCAGCAGUAGGGAAUCUUCCGCAAUGGGCGAAAGCCUGACGGAGCAACGCCGCGUGAGUGAUGAAGGUCUUCGGAUCGUAAAACUCUGUUAUUAGGGAAGAACAUAUGUGUAAGUAACUGUGCACAUCUUGACGGUACCUAAUCAGAAAGCCACGGCUAACUACGUG
This 497-nucleotide ribosomal RNA is filed under the name uncultured bacterium. Its description in RNAcentral is "partial 16S ribosomal RNA". It matches the Rfam family "Bacterial small subunit ribosomal RNA", at positions 28 to 507 of the family's 1533-position model. The record is from RNAcentral.